CCAUGCAGUUGCUACAGUUUUAGAUCAUCUGUAAAGUCUUAGGUAAUGAACACGUCAAGCCUAAUGGAUAGACUGUCGUACAUCUAUCUGCUGAUAUUCAUGUGUUUUACAUUUGUCUGCACCUAUGGAAGUGCUCAAGAGUCGACAAGUAAAUGGGGGAGAUGACAAUAACAUUUGCCUGUUUUAUGUGUUUAUGUUUUAUUGUCAGUAAGUUCCUUACUCCAGUUUUGCAAGAAAAAAUAAACUAUUUUUGUCAGCAAAUAAUGCAGUUUCUGUCACAGCCGUCUGUGAUUUAGCCCUGCUGUAGUUGGUCAUGUGAGACUAGUUUUAAUCGCAUAAACUUUUAAAACACAACUUAAAUAACUAACUCAACUAACUAAUUUAAACAAUGAAUAACAGUUAAAUCACCUUGAUUGCUGCUCUGCUGAUUGAACACUUCACAAUAAAUCACUGACUGCUGCUUUGUGACUGAAAAAAAAUCUGACUCUGAAUCUGUUUUACUAACGCUUUCCUUACAUCCAUCUCCAUCGUUCUUAGGAACUAAUCAAAGCAGUUACACCUCUGACAACUCUACCACUUCUCCUCCUCCUAAAGUUUAUGGUAAACUCAUUUCCCCCUUUUUCUCUCCAGCUAUUAGAAUGAGUAAAAUAUGAAAUAAGAUUAUUUAUAUUAAGUAAGAUGAGUGAAGGCACAGGAAGUUGAACACAACAAUUUACAUUUCUAUCCUUCCUUUCCUUAUUUCAGACAUGCAAGCACUUUUUUGUUGAAAUGAAUUGAAAGAAUAUAAAAAUAUGCUUUAAAACAAGUUAUUUCUGAAGAAGAAAGGUUUAGUCAUUAUUUUUAGUUUAUUUUGAAAUGUAAUUGUGAAUUAUUAAGAGGCUAUACCAAAUUCAAAGUUUGCCACUUUAAAAAUUAUUACAAAACUUUUUUCAUUCAGUAUAUCUUAAAAUACAUGUUUGGAUUUUGUUAGCUUUGCAUUGUUGUUCUUGGUAAUUUUAUUUUGAAAGGUCAUAGUUUAUUUCAAAUGAAAUUUUAUUAUUAUAAUUUUAGACUGUUAUCACAUAUUUAAUCCAAAAUAAUUGCUAAGAAGGUUUCCUCAUGGAACAAAUCUUACAUUACAUCUUUCUGUAUGGGCAUAUUUACAGUUAUAAACAUAAAGCAACUAUAUAAUUUAUUUUAGAACUGUGUUUUUAUACUGUAUCAUGCUUUGGGGCAAGGGCUAACCUGCAUAAUAAACUGUAAAGCAACACAAAACGGCAUAAUGUAAAGCUUCCAAGUUUAACGUUGAUAACAUUAUCGAUCCAUCCUUGAGCUUAAGUUUUAAUCCUAGUUUCAAGAAUCCUAGUUUGUAAAUUAACAUUACCGGCCCUCAUCGAGAAUACAAUCCGAAGCAAAAUGGUUAUCGCACACAUUUAUAAGUUUUACAGUUGUUGUCAGGACGUUUCCAUCAAAAAUAAAGUUUAUCCACUCUGUCUUCGCUUCCUCUGGUGGUGGGAGUAGAUGAAGAUGUUUGUGUUGAUAAUGCAGCCAACAACAGAGAAACUGGCAUGCUUUGCUCGUUUCCUUUGUGUUACCGGAGUCGGCGUUAGCAAGAAAAUAACCAUGGCAGACAGCGAGGUGGAGUCACUAUGUAUUCACUCUUUGAUUGGAUUAAAUGUUGGAGGGAUUUGUUUUUGCCUGCUUUAUUUAACCUAAUGUCUUAGAGUGGAUGGGAAUGAUUGAAAUGUCUUUUUACUGUAAGGGGCCGUUCAGAUGUUGCGUCUUUUGCUCGCACAAAUUCGUCAUUUUCAAUGGAGAGGCGCGACAAUGGUGCUCAAAGAGACACCAUUACGGCACACAUGCGUCGCGACACUCUUGUAUUUGGGGCGUGGUGCACCGAGAUGGAAAAUCUCAACUUUUUCGAAUACAGCUGGCACACCGCAGGUCUUGAGACAAGAAUUAA
Siniperca chuatsi (mandarin fish) is the source of this 1942-nucleotide long non-coding RNA. RefSeq lists it as uncharacterized. The transcript has 2 exons. Lineage: Eukaryota; Metazoa; Chordata; Actinopteri; Centrarchiformes; Sinipercidae. The record is from RefSeq and is a predicted model, not a curated record.